This 270-nucleotide long non-coding RNA is filed under the name Elaeis guineensis (African oil palm). RNAcentral describes it as "long non-coding RNA (EGUI_LNC015392)". The record is from RNAcentral. Lineage: Eukaryota; Viridiplantae; Streptophyta; Magnoliopsida; Arecales; Arecaceae.
UUCUAAAAUAAAUUACACAUAUAUUUUUAUUGAAAUAAAAAUUAUAGUUAUUCUAUACCAGCAUAGAUAUGAAAAUUAAAUUUUUACUAACUAUAGAUACAUAAUAGCAAUCUUUCAAAAUUAAAUUAAUUUCUAAUGAUAAUCGUAGAGGAUAAGUCUCGACAGCCACAGUAGCAACUCUUGCUCCAUUACCAACUCGAAGAGUGAUCUCAUCUUCCUUUAGUCCUCUAACUUCUUCAAGACCCUACAUAGAAGUACACAAAUGAGCAU